This 662-nucleotide ribosomal RNA is filed under the name Janibacter sp. GIC55. Its description in RNAcentral is "bacterial SSU rRNA". It matches the Rfam family "Bacterial small subunit ribosomal RNA", at positions 75 to 749 of the family's 1533-position model. The record is from RNAcentral. Lineage: Bacteria; Bacillati; Actinomycetota; Actinomycetes; Micrococcales; Intrasporangiaceae.
AGAGCUUGCUUUGUUCCGAUCAGUGGCGAACGGGUGAGUAACACGUGAGUAACCUGCCCCAGACUCUGGAAUAGGCGCUGGAAACGGCGUCUAAUACCGGAUACGAAACGAAGCUGCAUGGCUAUCGUUUGGAAAGUUUUUCGGUUUGGGAUGGACUCGCGGCCUAUCAGCUUGUUGGUGAGGUAAUGGCUCACCAAGGCGACGACGGGUAGCCGGCCUGAGAGGGCGACCGGCCACACUGGGACUGAGACACGGCCCAGACUCCUACGGGAGGCAGCAGUGGGGAAUAUUGCACAAUGGGCGAAAGCCUGAUGCAGCGACGCCGCGUGAGGGAUGACGGCCUUCGGGUUGUAAACCUCUUUCAGCAGGGAAGAAGCGCAAGUGACGGUACCUGCAGAAGAAGCACCGGCUAACUACGUGCCAGCAGCCGCGGUAAUACGUAGGGUGCUGAGCGUUGUCCGGAAUUAUUGGGCGUAAAGAGCUUGUAGGCGGUUUGUCGCGUCUGCCGUGAAAAUUCGAGGCUCAACCUCGAACUUGCGGUGGGUACGGGCAGACUAGAGUGUGGUAGGGGAGACUGGAAUUCCUGGGUGUAGCGGUGAAAUGCGCAGAUAUCAGGAGGAACACGAUGGCGAAGGCAGGUCUCUGGCCACUACUGACGCUGA